ACUGUCAGCUCUAGCUAAAUUUACACAUGCAAGUAUCCGCGCCCCUGUGAGGAUGCCCUACAACUUCCCCACCCGAAACAAGGAGCCGGUAUCAGGCACAGAUAAUGCUAGCCCACAACACCUUGCUUAGCCACACCCCCAAGGGAAUUCAGCAGUGAUAAACCUUAAGCUAUAAGUGAAAACUUGACUUAGUUAAAGCUAAGAGGGCCGGUAAAACUCGUGCCAGCCACCGCGGUUAUACGAGAGGCUCAAGUUGACAGACACGGCGUAAAGAGUGGUUAGGCAACCCCCUCCCUAUACACUAAAGUCGAACGGCCUCAGGGCAGUUAUACGCGCUACGAAGGCAUGAAGCUCCUCCACGAAAGUGACUUUACUCUUCCUGACUCCACGAAAGAUGAGAAACAAACUGGGAUUAGAUACCCCACUAUGCUCAUCCUUAAACUUUGAUAGUCCACUACAACCCCUAUCCGCCUGGGUAUUACGAGCUCUGGCUUAAAACCCAAAGGACUUGGCGGUGCUUUAGAUCCAUCUAGAGGAGCCUGUCCUAUGACCGAUAAUCCCCGUUAAACCUCACCCUCUCUUGCUCUUCCCGCCUAUAUACCGCCGUCGUCAGCCGACCCUGUGAAGGACAAAUAGUUUGCAAAAUUGGUAAAGCCCAAAACGCCAGGUCGAGGUGUAGCGAAUGAGAGGGGAAGAGAUGGGCUACAUUUCCUGAACUCAAGGAAAUACGGAUGCUAUACUGAAACACUAUUUUUGAAGGAGGAUUUAGCAGUAAGUAGAAAUCAGAGUGUUCUACUGAAUCUGGCCCUGAAGCGCGCACAUACCGCCCGUCACUCUCCCCUAAUUACCAUCAAACAGUAUAUAAAAACUAACACCAAUAAAGGGGAGACA
This 891-nucleotide non-coding RNA is filed under the name Stegastes diencaeus (longfin damselfish). RNAcentral describes it as "partial 12S ribosomal RNA". It matches the Rfam family "Bacterial small subunit ribosomal RNA". Lineage: Eukaryota; Metazoa; Chordata; Actinopteri; Pomacentridae. The record is from RNAcentral.